GCCCUGGUGGCACAGUGGUUAAAUGCCUGUACUGCAGCCAUAAACUCAUAGACCACAAGGUUGCGAGUUCAAUACUAGCCAGGGCU
This 86-nucleotide transfer RNA is filed under the name Phrynosoma platyrhinos (Desert horned lizard). Its description in RNAcentral is "tRNA-OTHER". Lineage: Eukaryota; Metazoa; Chordata; Lepidosauria; Squamata; Phrynosomatidae. The record is from RNAcentral.